CGUACACUCCUGCGGGAGGCAGCAGUAGGGAAUCUUCCACAAUGGGUGCAAACCUGAUGGAGCAAUGCCGCGUGAGUGAAGAAGGUCUUCGGAUCGUAAAGCUCUGUUGUUAGAGAAGAACACGUGCUAGGUAACUACUAGCGCCUUGACGGUAUCUAACCAGAAAGUCACGGCUAACUACGUGCCAGCAGCCGCGGUAAUACGUAGGUGACAAGCGUUGUCCGGAUUUAUUGGGCGUAAAGGGAGCGCAGGCGGUCUGUUUAGUCUAAUGUGAAAGCCCACGGCUUAACCGUGGAACGGCAUUGGAAACUGACAGACUUGAAUGUAGAAGAGGAAAAUGGAAUUCCAAGUGUAGCGGUGGAAUGCGUAGAUAUUUGGAGGAACACCAGUGGCGAAGGCGAUUUUCUGGUCUAACAUUGACGCUGAGGCUCGAAAGCGUGGGGAGCGAACAGGAUUAGAAACCCCGGUAGUCCCA
RNAcentral lists this ribosomal RNA (475 nucleotides) under uncultured organism. RNAcentral describes it as "partial 16S ribosomal RNA". It matches the Rfam family "Bacterial small subunit ribosomal RNA", at positions 330 to 797 of the family's 1533-position model. The record is from RNAcentral.